Molecule: ribosomal RNA, 527 nt
Filed under: Salmonella enterica
Lineage: Bacteria; Pseudomonadati; Pseudomonadota; Gammaproteobacteria; Enterobacterales; Enterobacteriaceae
Also listed under: 1 other name
Description: partial 23S ribosomal RNA
Rfam family: Bacterial large subunit ribosomal RNA
Source: RNAcentral
UUGUGAGGUUAAGCGACUAAGCGUACACGGUGGAUGCCCUGGCAGUCAGAGGCGAUGAAGGACGUGCUAAUCUGCGAUAAGCGCCGGUAAGGUGAUAUGAACCGUUAUAACCGGCGAUUUCCGAAUGGGGAAACCCAGUGUGAUUCGUCACACUAUCAUUAACUGAAUCCAUAGGUUAAUGAGGCGAACCGGGGGAACUGAAACAUCUAAGUACCCCGAGGAAAAGAAAUCAACCGAGAUUCCCCCAGUAGCGGCGAGCGAACGGGGAGGAGCCCAGAGCCUGAAUCAGCAUGUGUGUUAGUGGAAGCGUCUGGAAAGGCGCGCGAUACAGGGUGACAGCCCCGUACACAAAAGCGCAUGUGCUGUGAGCUCGAUGAGUAGGGCGGGACACGUGGUAUCCUGUCUGAAUAUGGGGGGACCAUCCUCCAAGGCUAAAUACUCCUGACUGACCGAUAGUGAACCAGUACCGUGAGGGAAAGGCGAAAAGAACCCCGGCGAGGGGAGUGAAAAAGAACCUGAAACCGUGU